This 406-nucleotide ribosomal RNA is filed under the name uncultured bacterium. RNAcentral describes it as "partial 16S ribosomal RNA". It matches the Rfam family "Bacterial small subunit ribosomal RNA", at positions 29 to 526 of the family's 1533-position model. The record is from RNAcentral.
AUCGAACGCUGGCGGCAGGCUUAACACAUGCAAGUCGAGCGAGCGGCGGACGGGUGAGUAAUGUCUGGGCAACUGCCUGAUGGAGGGGGAUAACUACUGGAAACGGUAGCUAAUACCGCAUACCAUCAGAUGUGCCCAGAUGGGAUUAGCUAGUAGGUGGGGUAAUGGCUCACCUAGGCGACGAUCCCUAGGUGGUCUGAGAGGGUGACCAGCGAGACUGGAACUGAGACACGGCCCAGACGCCUGCGAGAGGCAGCAGUGGGGAAUAUUGCACCAUGGGGGCAAGCCUGAUACAGCCAUGCCGCGUGUGUGAAGAAGGCCUUCGGGUUGUAAAGCACUUGCAGCGAGGAGGCGUUACUCGAAGAAGAAGCACCGGCUAACUCCGUGCCAGCAGCCGCGGUAAUAC